Molecule: ribosomal RNA, 523 nt
Filed under: uncultured bacterium
Lineage: Bacteria
Description: bacterial SSU rRNA
Rfam family: Bacterial small subunit ribosomal RNA
Source: RNAcentral
GGGGAAUAUUGGACAAUGGACCAAGGGUCUGAUCCAGCAAUUCUGUGUGCACGAUGAAGUUUUUCGGAAUGUAAAGUGCUUUCAGUUGGGAAGAAAGAAAUGACGGUACCAACAGAAGAAGUGACGGCUAAAUACGUGCCAGCAGCCGCGGUAAUACGUAUGUCACGAGCGUUAUCCGGAUUUAUUGGGCGUAAAGCGCGUCUAGGUGGUUAUAUAAGUCUGAUGUGAAAAUGCAGGGCUCAACUCUGUAUUGCGUUGGAAACUGUAUAACUAGAGUACUGGAGAGGUAAGCGGAACUACAAGUGUAGAGGUGAAAUUCGUAGAUAUUUGUAGGAAUGCCGAUGGGGAAGCCAGCUUACUGGACAGAUACUGACGCUGAAGCGCGAAAGCGUGGGUAGCAAACAGGAUUAGAUACCCUGGUAGUCCACGCCGUAAACGAUGAUUACUAGGUGUUGGGGGUCGAACCUCAGCGCCCAAGCAAACGCGAUAAGUAAUCCGCCUGGGGAGUACGUACGCAAGUAUG